GACGAACGCUGGCGGCCUGCUUAACACAUGCAAGUCGAACGGUGAACGAGGGAGCUUGCUCCCUCCGGAUCAGUGGCGAACGGGUGAGUAACACGUGAGCAAUCUGCCCCGAACUCUGGGAUAAGCGUUGGAAACGACGUCUAAUACCGGAUACGACGCGGGAGGGCAUCCUCUCCGCGUGGAAAGAACUUCGGUUCGGGAUGAGCUCGCGGCCUAUCAGCUUGUUGGUGAGGUAACGGCUCACCAAGGCGACGACGGGUAGCCGGCCUGAGAGGGUGACCGGCCACACUGGGACUGAGACACGGCCCAGACUCCUACGGGAGGCAGCAGUGGGGAAUAUUGCACAAUGGGCGCAAGCCUGAUGCAGCAACGCCGCGUGAGGGACGACGGCCUUCGGGUUGUAAACCUCUUUUAGCAGGGAAGAAGCGAAAGUGACGGUACCUGCAGAAAAAGCACCGGCUAACUACGUG
This 470-nucleotide ribosomal RNA is filed under the name uncultured bacterium. RNAcentral describes it as "partial 16S ribosomal RNA". It matches the Rfam family "Bacterial small subunit ribosomal RNA", at positions 28 to 507 of the family's 1533-position model. The record is from RNAcentral.